GAGCCAUUCGAACACGAACGCCAUGCCUCUGGCUCCAGAUUCAAUCUGAAACUGGAGCUGCGAAUCUGAAACUGGAGCUGUCUGGCUUCUCGUUAGAGCCGCAUUAGUCGAAUAAAAUAUUGUCCGUUUGAUCAAUUCCAUCAAUGGUGUCCGUCGAUAUAUACGUACUCAACUUUCAAACCAGGCACUGACACUGUACUGCUGUACACGCGACGGCAACGAGACUGGCUCGCGACGUUGACAUGCCCUUCGCAUAGAUUUUAUAUAACACUAAACGUAUACACAAUAAACUCGCUUUUGAUGCGUUUAAUCGAGAUAGCAAAUGGUGGCAACUUUAGGAAUGUUGAGUGUUGACACUUUAUAGAUAGGAGCAAGUUAAUUGAAACCUUACGUAUCUAUAGGCCUUGUCACACUAUUGCGUAUCGUACUAGCGUAUAUGCCAGCGUAUGAAAAAUAUCACUCAUACGCCGGUAUACGCUGACAUACGCUAGGGUACCUUAGGCUUAGUUAGAUUGUAUACGUUUCAAGCACGGUUGCAUACGGUGGCAUACGCUGGCAUACGGCGAGGCAGAAAUUUUUUUUUAAGCAUGCUCAAAAAUUUUGUGCGUAUUCGGACGUAUGGUUUAUACGAUAAGCAUACUCUAGGCACACGCUGAAUACGCUAGAGGUACACCAGAUGUACGGAACUCAUACGCUGGUAUUUCAAAGUAUUUUUGUGCGUAUGGAAAUUAUUUCAUUAACUCCAUACGCUUCUCAUACGUUUUUCUCAUACGCAAUAGUGUGACAGGGCCUUAAAUUCUAUCUAUUUGUCUCAAAAUAAAUAGCCCACACGCAGUCUCGUGACAUCGAUCAAACGACGUAUGAGGCAUGAACUCAAACUCGGGCAACGAAAUAAAAGACUGUUACAUGUAAUUAGGAUUCGAUAAAACUUGACCAGACAGGAGAUCAGACCAGUUCAAAUUUUUGUCGGACGUGAUCAGACACUGAUUAUUUAUAAUUAUAGGAAUUUACAGAGGAAAGUUGUACAGUACAUUGCAUUGUGAUUAUUUCACCUGUAUACUAUUAUUUAAAUAGAAACUCAAUAUAACCAUAGUUAAUAUGAUAUAACAUAGCAAUUUACCGGUGAUCAAUUGAAAUUCCCCGCCCUUUGCGGGUGUAGAGUCUGGGCGUACUGGUAUUCAAUCAACACCCCUUCUUACCAGUUACACCUAAAUUCUUCCUUUAACCUGACGCCUCUCCAAGAAUUUCGUUUUCGUUCGAAGCAGGAAGUUGAUUGUUAUUUG
Molecule: non-coding RNA, 1283 nt
Organism: Paramuricea clavata
Lineage: Eukaryota; Metazoa; Cnidaria; Anthozoa; Malacalcyonacea; Plexauridae
Source: the annotation of a GenBank genome assembly